AUCACCUCUNCCUGCCAUCAGGGCUAACAGCCAUAAAUAUAUACAAACACAGAACCCCCUGGCUCCAUCACCUACUCUAACUUUCCUGCCAGCUGCAGGGAGAACAUNCUUCAGCAAGCGAGUUCUGCCAUGCUCCAGAUGCUCCAACUAGACCACCCUCCCCGGAUAGCCAUCGAAGCCACCCGGCGGGCGCACGAAGGAUGGGCAAAGACAAUGACAGGGCUUCCCGCCUUGCCAGUUGCAGAGCCACUCAUGAAUAUAUCCACCAAUGGGACACUGAUUAUCCGAAGAGGAAACUGCGUGCAGAUUUCCAGCCACGUAACAAUGGAUGAACUUGGCUGGAAGAGCUGGGUGCUGUACCCCGAGUCCUUCGUUUUCACCCAGUGCCUGGGCUGCCGCUGCCAGCGAAAAGACAAACAGCCUCCAUUGCCUCCCUGGAUGCAGGAAUGCGGAAUUGGGCAGGCGGGGACUCAGCUAGAGCUGGACAUCGAUCAGAGGCACUGCUGCCGGCCACGCCGGAUCCCGCUCUCCUUUGUGUACCUCAAGGACGACGCCUUGGUAAUGAAAGGGGUCCAGGUGGUUCAUCACUGCCANUGUGAUGCCUGAGGCUUCACGUACCCAACCGGACCAGUGCAGAAAGCNGCCUGUGCGAGCAAAACCGGAGGAGGUGGAAAGGAAGCCACAGAAUCAAACCCAGACGCCCUCAAAUUGGUGCUUGCCCGUGCUGAGCGGAGCAGGGGAAGGAUUCUCUCCCAUCCCAGGACAUUAACAGAGCAAGGAGGGAGUCCAUUCUCUUCGAACCUGCUGGCUUGCUUUGCCGCAAGGUUUCGUUUUGUGAGUUUGUUUCUUUUUAUCUUGACUUGUAUAGAAAACCUAUCAACAAAUAUAACGACAACAGGCUACAUAAAAGCAGGAACUUGUGCUUUCCAAAACAGAAGCUCCCGUUCCCUCUCCUCAGCUCCCAAAAUAAGGGCAUGCUUGCCCUUCUCCUCAAAGAAUCCUGGGUCCUUUCUGCCCUGGGUCUUAUUCUGGGUUAUAUCUGGCGUAGUCUGCACUACCAUGUGAACNGUCCUAGCACUGGCAGGUGCCCAUUCCAGUAUAUAAUCAGGAAUAAAGCUCGGUGUAGAAAGGGCCCUAGAAUAAUU
Molecule: long non-coding RNA, 1145 nt
Filed under: Salvator merianae (Argentine black and white tegu)
Lineage: Eukaryota; Metazoa; Chordata; Lepidosauria; Squamata; Teiidae
Description: lncRNA (ENSSMRG00000020373.1)
Source: RNAcentral